This 253-nucleotide ribosomal RNA is filed under the name uncultured bacterium. RNAcentral's name for it is "partial 16S ribosomal RNA". It matches the Rfam family "Bacterial small subunit ribosomal RNA", at positions 524 to 776 of the family's 1533-position model. The record is from RNAcentral.
CACGUAGGGCGCAAGCGUUGUCCGGAAUUAUUGGGCGUAAAGAGCUCGUAGGCGGUCUGUUGCGUCUGCUGUGAAAACUCGGGGCUUAACCCCGAGCCUGCAGUGGAUACGGGCAGACUAGAGGUAGGUAGGGGAGAAUGGAAUUCCCGGUGUAGCGGUGAAAUGCGCAGAUAUCGGGAAGAACACCCGUGGCGAAGGCGGUUCUCUGGGACGCUACUGACGCUGAGACGCGAAAGCGUGGGGAGCGAACAGG